CAUGUAGGCGGUUGUUUAAGUCUGAUGUGAAAGCCCUGGGCUCAACCCAGGAAGUGCAUUGGAUACUGGACAACUUGAGUACGGGAGAGGAAAGUGGAAUUUCGAGUGUAGGGGUGAAAUCCGUAGAUAUUCGAAGGAACACCAGUGGCGAAGGCGGCUUUCUGGACCGAUACUGACGCUGAGAUGCGAAAGCGUGGGGAGCAAACAG
Molecule: ribosomal RNA, 208 nt
Filed under: uncultured bacterium
Lineage: Bacteria
Description: partial 16S ribosomal RNA
Rfam family: Bacterial small subunit ribosomal RNA
Source: RNAcentral